RNAcentral lists this ribosomal RNA (253 nucleotides) under uncultured bacterium. Its description in RNAcentral is "partial 16S ribosomal RNA". It matches the Rfam family "Bacterial small subunit ribosomal RNA", at positions 524 to 776 of the family's 1533-position model. The record is from RNAcentral.
UACAGAGGUCCCAAGCGUUGUUCGGAUUCAUUGGGCGUAAAGGGUGUGUAGGCGGCGCGGUAAGUCGGGUGUGAAAUCUCGGAGCUUAACUCCGAAACUGCAUUCGAUACUGCCGUGCUUGAGGACUGGAGAGGAGACUGGAAUUUACGGUGUAGCGGUGAAAUGCGUAGAUAUCGUAAGGAAGACCAGUGGCGAAGGCGGGUCUCUGGACAGUUCCUGACGCUGAGGCACGAAGGUCAGGGGAGCAAACGGG